RNAcentral lists this long non-coding RNA (264 nucleotides) under Nicotiana benthamiana. RNAcentral describes it as "long non-coding RNA (NBEN_LNC015946)". Lineage: Eukaryota; Viridiplantae; Streptophyta; Magnoliopsida; Solanales; Solanaceae. The record is from RNAcentral.
GGGAAAAUGCUUUUCCCUUGCCUUCCACCAAUCCAAAAGGUCGAAAGAGCCGUCUGGAUUCUCAUUCUCUAGUCCCUGCGACAAAUAAAUUUGAAGCUUAUUUAGAUGGGAAAAAUCAUCUACAUUUUCACCUUGAGUACCCCUGAAUUCCGUCCACGAUUUAAGAGUUGUUAAGCCAGCAGCUCUUUUAGGCGCCUGUGAUGUGGACGAAGUAGGGGUUGGAAUAUUAGGCCUAGUAUGCUCUAACGCCUGUUUAUAAGCAUU